AGUCAAAGUCUGCUGGGGAAAUCAGAGGAAGGAAUCAGAGAUCACCUUUCUUAUUUGGAGGGAAGAAGCUCUUGUUUCUAAGAGACUCAGAAAACCAGUCUUCUGUUCCCAAGAAACUGCGUAAAGGAUGUCCCUGAGCUGGUUCCUUGCCUUGGUUCUCCUGCUGGGGAGUGCAGACGCCCAGAACUGCAGCAGAAUGACCAUAGGAUUCAAUUUGGCCAAAGGUCGCCCAGCAUGCCAGUCCUCUAC
RNAcentral lists this long non-coding RNA (249 nucleotides) under Salvator merianae (Argentine black and white tegu). RNAcentral's name for it is "lncRNA (ENSSMRG00000009141.1)". The record is from RNAcentral. Lineage: Eukaryota; Metazoa; Chordata; Lepidosauria; Squamata; Teiidae.